UUAACUCGAAUUUGUAUGGAGAUUGGAACGUUUGCCUACUCUUGCCGCUAGGGGCGCUGUUCCAAAUGCAUAGAAAUAUGACUUA
Molecule: microRNA precursor, 85 nt
Filed under: Bombyx mori (domestic silkworm)
Lineage: Eukaryota; Metazoa; Arthropoda; Insecta; Lepidoptera; Bombycidae
Description: mir-2807 microRNA precursor family
Rfam family: mir-2807 microRNA precursor family
Source: Rfam by way of RNAcentral